AACCUUAUGGACCUGCGGGCGUAUACCUGCGGAGGGAUCAUUACACAACAAAAUAUGAAGGCCUGGCUUCGCGGCCGGCUGAAGUAUUUUUUUUUCACCCAUGUCUUUUGCGCACUUGUUGUUUCCUGGGCGGGUUCGCCCGCCACCAGGACCAAACCAUAAACCUUUUUUUUAUGUAGUUGCAAUCAGCGUCAGUAAAAACAAUGUAAUUAUUACAACUUUUAACAAUGGAUCUCAGAU
RNAcentral lists this unclassified non-coding RNA (240 nucleotides) under soil metagenome. RNAcentral describes it as "partial contains 5.8S ribosomal RNA, internal transcribed spacer 2, and large subunit ribosomal RNA". The record is from RNAcentral.